Gymnothorax javanicus (giant moray) is the source of this 74-nucleotide non-coding RNA. The record is from the annotation of a GenBank genome assembly. NCBI's taxonomy places the organism in Eukaryota, Metazoa, Chordata, Actinopteri, Anguilliformes, Muraenidae.
GAUAUGGUGGCACAGUGGUUAAGUGCGCUUGACUUGAGAUCAAGAGAUCCUGAGUUCAAGUCCUUGCCAUAGCU